RNAcentral lists this ribosomal RNA (1322 nucleotides) under uncultured bacterium. Its description in RNAcentral is "bacterial SSU rRNA". It matches the Rfam family "Bacterial small subunit ribosomal RNA", at positions 28 to 1398 of the family's 1533-position model. The record is from RNAcentral.
GAUGAACGCUGGCGGCGUGCUUAACACAUGCAAGUCGAACGAACCUUCGGGUUAGUGGCGGACGGGUGAGUAACGCGUGAGAAUCUGCCCUCAGGAGGGGGAUAACGGUUGGAAACGACCGCUAAUACCCCAUAUGCCGAUAGGUGAAAUGAAUUUCGCCUGAGGAUGAGCUCGCGUCUGAUUAGCUUGUUGGUGAGGUAAUGGCUCACCAAGGCUUCGAUCAGUAGCUGGUCUGAGAGGAUGAUCAGCCACACUGGGACUGAGACACGGCCCAGACUCCUACGGGAGGCAGCAGUGGGGAAUUUUCCGCAAUGGGCGAAAGCCUGACGGAGCAACGCCGCGUGAGGGACGGAGGCCUCUGGGCUGUAAACCUCUUUUCUCAAGGAAGAAGAUAUGACGGUACUUGAGGAAUAAGCCACGGCUAAUUCCGUGCCAGCAGCCGCGGUAAUACGGGAGUGGCAAGAGUUAUCCGGAAUUAUUGGGCGUAAAGCGUCCGCAGGCGGCCUUUCAAGUCUGCUGUUAAAGCGUGGAGCUUAACUCCAUUAUGGCAGUGGAAACUGAUCGGCUUGAGUAUGGUAGGGGCAGAGGGAAUUCCCGGUGUAGCGGUGAAAUGCGUAGAUAUCGGGAAGAACACCAGUGGCGAAGGCGCUCUGCUGGGCCAUUACUGACGCUCAUGGACGAAAGCCAGGGGAGCGAAAGGGAUUAGAUACCCCUGUAGUCCUGGCCGUAAACGAUGAACACUAGGUGUCGGGGGAAUCGACCCCUUCGGUGUCGUAGCUAACGCGUUAAGUGUUCCGCCUGGGGAGUACGCACGCAAGUGUGAAACUCAAAGGAAUUGACGGGGGCCCGCACAAGCGGUGGAGUAUGUGGUUUAAUUCGAUGCAACGCGAAGAACCUUACCAGGGUUUGACAUCCUGAGAACCUCUUAGAAAUUUGAGGGUGCCUUCGGGAAUUCAGUGACAGGUGGUGCAUGGCUGUCGUCAGCUCGUGUCGUGAGAUGUUGGGUUAAGUCCCGCAACGAGCGCAACCCACGUUUUUAGUUGCCAGCAUCUAGUUGGGCACUCUAGAAAGACCGCCGGUGAUAAACCGGAGGAAGGUGUGGAUGAUGUCAAGUCAUCAUGCCCCUUACACCCUGGGCUACACACGUACUACAAUGCUACGGACAAAGGGCAGCAAACUCGCGAGAGCUAGCAAAUCCCAUAAACCGUGGCUCAGUUCAGAUCGUAGGCUGCAACUCGCAUACGUGAAGUAGGAAUCGCUAGUAAUCGCAGGUCAGCAUACUGCGGUGAAUACGUUCCCGGGCCUUGUACUCACCGCCCGUC